GUUCACCAAUCUACUAGGCUUUGAAUUUCAUGGUAAUGUUUUGUUUUUGAGUGCAUACAAGCAUGAUUCCGCCUUUAAUUGUUAAUUGCAUGCUAUAUGAUGUUGCUCAAAUGAACAUGUUUUCACAAAAUAAUUCCUUCAGAACUCACCUUCGUACCACCAACCAAGUGAUAACAGCAACUCACCAUUCAUUCCACCUACCAGAAGACGAGUGGUAUAACUUGUACAUGUGAACUCCUAGCAUUCACAAAUAAUAAAAAACCCUCAAGCUUGACAACUCAACUAGGGGAGCACUUAUGCCCAACAAGAGUUAUGGUCACCAACAAAGUCUUAGCCAACAACAACUUCAAUGCAUGGCAUACGAAGAUCAAGCCAUUCAGCCCUCUUGCAUCUGUUUCGAACAUUUCCCCUCUAUAACAAUGCAAACACUACAACUCAUAGAAAGCCUCACACACUCUUGAUCAAGACAGUGUGAAGCAAAACCAAUUUAUGGUGCCAACAAGAGCUUCAUCAAAGGAGUUCAACCUCAAUUCUCAAAGCUUCACAAACUUUUGAUCAAGACAGUGUGAA
RNAcentral lists this long non-coding RNA (570 nucleotides) under Malus domestica (apple). RNAcentral's name for it is "long non-coding RNA (MDOM_LNC007698)". Lineage: Eukaryota; Viridiplantae; Streptophyta; Magnoliopsida; Rosales; Rosaceae. The record is from RNAcentral.